GAUGAACGCUGGCGGCGUGCCUAAUACAUGCAAGUCGAGCGAACAGACGAGGCGCUUGCUCCUCUGUCGUUAGCGGCGGACGGGUGAGUAACGCGUGGAUACUCUACCUGUCAGACUGGGAUAUCUUCGGGACACCGGAGCUAACAGCGGAUAAUCUAUUGAACCGCAUGGUUCAAUGGUGAGAGACGGUUUUGGUGUCUCUUCUCGCUGGAUCCGCGCCGUAUUAGCUAGUUGGUAAGGUCACGGCUUAUCAAGGCAACGAGGCGUAGCCGACCUGAGAGGGGGAUCGGCCGCACUGGAACGUGGACACGCACCAGACGCCUACGGGAGGCAGCAGUAGGGAAUCGUCCGCAAUGGGCGAAAGCAUUACGGAGCAAGGCCGCGUGAGUGAUGAAGGUCUUCGGAGCGGAAAACUCUGUUAUUAGUGAAGAACAAAUGUGUAAGUAACUAUGCACGUCUUGACGGUACUUAAUAAGAAAGCCCCGGCUAACUACGUG
This 497-nucleotide ribosomal RNA is filed under the name uncultured bacterium. Its description in RNAcentral is "partial 16S ribosomal RNA". It matches the Rfam family "Bacterial small subunit ribosomal RNA", at positions 28 to 507 of the family's 1533-position model. The record is from RNAcentral.